Molecule: ribosomal RNA, 812 nt
Filed under: uncultured bacterium
Lineage: Bacteria
Description: bacterial SSU rRNA
Rfam family: Bacterial small subunit ribosomal RNA
Source: RNAcentral
GCUGGCGGCGUGCCUAAGACAUGCAAGUCGAGUGGGUUUAGGCCCACGGCGAACGGGUGAGUAAUACCUAGGAAUGUAUCUUUAGUUGAGCAUAUCCCACCGAAAGGUGGAGCAAUUCUCAAUGUGACCGCAAGGUCAAAGUCGCAAGACGCUAAAGAAGCAGCCUGGGCACCAUCAGCUAGUUGGUAAGGUAAAGGCUUACCAAGGCUAUGACGGUUAGGGGCCCCGAGAGGGGAAACCUCCACACUGGAACUGCGACACGGUCCAGACUCCUACGGGAGGCAGCAGUUUGGAAUUUUGGACAAUGGGCGAAAGCCUGAUCCAGCGACGCCGCGUGGACGAUGAAGGUCUUCGGAUCGUAAAGUCCUUUUGCAAGGGAACAAUUUUUGAGCGUACCUUGCGAAUAAGAGGUUGCUAACUCUGUGCCAGCAGCAGCGGUAAUACAGAGACCUCGAGCGUUAUCCGGAAUCAUUGGGCGUAAAGCGUACCGAUAGGUGGUUUAGAAAGUCAGAUGUGAAAUUCCAAGGCUCAACCUUGGGACUGUCAUUUGAAACUUCUAAACUAGAGGGGCAAAGAGGAAGCUGGAACGAACGGUGUAGUAGUGAAAUGCGUUGAUAUCGUUCGGAACACCAAUAGCGAAGGCGGGCUUCUGGGUGCCACCUGACACUGCUAGGACGAAAGCGUGGGGAGCGAAUGGGAUUAGAUACCCCAGUAGUCCACGCUGUAAACGAUGUACAUUAGGUGCUAGAGAGUAUCGACCCUCUUUAGUACCAUAGCUAACGCGUUAAAUGUACCGCCUGGGGAGUACGGCC